Molecule: non-coding RNA, 64 nt
Organism: Potamilus streckersoni
Lineage: Eukaryota; Metazoa; Mollusca; Bivalvia; Unionida; Unionidae
Source: the annotation of a GenBank genome assembly
GUGGCAUAAGUGGUUAGAGCGUCCGCUUUAGAUGCAGAAGGUCUUGGGUUCAAUCCCCGGGUCA